This 424-nucleotide ribosomal RNA is filed under the name uncultured archaeon. Its description in RNAcentral is "partial 16S ribosomal RNA". It matches the Rfam family "Archaeal small subunit ribosomal RNA", at positions 323 to 746 of the family's 1478-position model. The record is from RNAcentral.
CUACGGGGUGCUCCAGUCGCGGAACUUUUACAAUGCACGCAAGUGUGAUAAAGCAAGCCAAAGUGCUUUUCGUUUAGAAAAGCUUUUUCUCGGCGUAAAAACCCGGGAGAAUAAGGACUGGGAAAGACUGGUGCCAGCCGCCGCGGUAAUACCAGCAGUUCAAGUUGCAUCCCUUUUUAUUGGGUCUAAAACAUCCGUAGCUUGCCGUUUAAGUCUCUUGUGAAAUCCUACGUCUCAAGCGUAGCGAAGUGCAGGAGAUACUGGGCGGCUAGAGAUCGGUAGACGUAAGAAGUACGCGACGGGUAACGGUCAAAUGUGUUAAUCCGUCGUGGACUAACAAUGAGCGAAGGCAUCUUACGAGGACGAAUCUGACAGUGAGGGAUGAAGGCCAGGGGCGCAAAACGGAUUAGAUACCCUGGUAGUC